GGGUUUUGUUGCUUUAGGUGAAAAUCAGAAAAUGGGAUGUCAGUUCAAAUUUUACUCUCUCUUUCUGUAUUUAAAAAUCAAUUUUUGGUCCCCUUGGGAUGGCCUAGUGGUUAGGGUGGUUGCCUGUUGUCUAAGAGGUCACAGGUUCGAGUACUCUCGGCCACAAUAACCACUAGGUGGGGUGUGUGUGGUUUGUAUUAUUUAUAAUGUAAUUUCAUCAAAAAAAAAAAAAAAAU
This 236-nucleotide long non-coding RNA is filed under the name Salvia miltiorrhiza (redroot sage). RNAcentral's name for it is "long non-coding RNA (SMIL_LNC011305)". The record is from RNAcentral. Lineage: Eukaryota; Viridiplantae; Streptophyta; Magnoliopsida; Lamiales; Lamiaceae.